GGGUCCAGAUUGUCUAGCCUGGCUGAUUUGUAGGGGUUCAGAUUUUGCAGCUCUUUCAGAACAUCAGCUGACUGGAUUUUGGAGAAGGAGAAAUGGGGAAGGCUUGGGCGAGUUGCUGUGGGGGGGUGCAGUGCUGUUGACCAGGGUAGGGGUAGCCAGGUGGAAAGCAUGGCCAGCCGUAGAAAAAUGCUUAUUGAAAUUCUCAAUUAUCAAGGAUUUAUCGGUGGUGACAGAGUUUUCUAUCCUCAGUGCAGUGGGCAGCUGGGAGGAGGUGCUCUUAUUCUCCAAGGACUUUACAGUGUCCCAGAACUUUUUUGAGUUUGUGUUGCAGGAAGUAAAUUUCUGCUUGAAAAAGCUAGCCUUGGCUUUUCUAACUGCCUUUGUAUAUUGGUUUCUAACUUCCCUGAAAAGUUGCAUAUCACGGGGGCUGUUCGAUGCUAAUGCAGAACGCCACAGGAUGUUUUUGUGUUGGUUAAGGUGCAGUCAGGACUGGAGAGAACCAGGUGCUAUAUCUGUUCCUGGUUCUAAAUUUCUUGAAUGGGGCAUGCUUAUUUAAGAUGGUGAGGAAGGCAUUUAAAAAAAAGAACCAGGCAUCCUCUACUCAAGGAAUGAGGUCAAUAUCCUUCCAGGAUACCCGGUCCAGGUUGAUUAGAAAGGCCUGCUUGCUGAAGUGUUUCUGGGAGUUUUUGUUUGAAGUGGUUUUAAAAUUUCCUAUGGGAAACAAUAAUGGCGAAAAAACGAUUGUAACCAUUUCCGUGUUUGACCGCUAGGUUUUAUGGAUAUUAUGACCACAGAUAAAACAACGAGACAGAUAUUUCACCGGAUGUAUAAAUGUGAAGCAUCUGGUUGGCGGUUCCACUCACGACCAAAUAUGGUCAUGAGAGGAAGCCCGGUGGCCAGCACAGGGAGAAAAUGGAGCGAGAUGGAUUUUGCCCGGCAUUCUGCACAUUUUCUCAUUGAUGAAACAUUUGAUUUCCACACAGUUUUCUGUUUUCAAAACUAUAAUUUGUAACGAACAGAGUGGACUGCGUUAGUAGACUUUACCCUUUGCCAAAGUUUCAAAAAAGUGCGUUGUUUAGGAGCGCAAGUGCAAAUUGAGUUAUUGCACACGCGCACUUCAUAAAGUAGGCGUUCCUUACGGAAAUAUCCAAAUAAAUGCUGGAAUGUUCUUGGCACUAUCGACUAUGAUUGACUUGGUUACAUUGGAAAGACAGGCUCUGGUAUAUGUUGGAAUAUCAGCCAUGUGAACCCAUUUUGCAGCUGAUAAUGGCACGCAACACCAAUGCAGCCAUAGGCUUACAGCAGUGGUUCUUAACUCCAGUCCUUCAGUACCCCCAACAGCACAUUUUUGUUGUAGCCCCGGACAAACAUGCCUGAUGAUUAGUUGACAAGUUGAAUCCGGUGUGUUUCUCUGGGGCUACAAUUAUGAUAAUGCCUAAGACAUUUUGGGUCCUGGGGUAGGCAGUCAUUGUAAAAUAAGAAUUUGUUCUUAACUGACUUGUUAAAUAAAAGACUACCACAAUUUGUCUAUGCUAAAUGUGUUUAAAGUGUAAUGCAAGACGAGGUGAAGGUG
Molecule: long non-coding RNA, 1573 nt
Filed under: Salmo salar (Atlantic salmon)
Lineage: Eukaryota; Metazoa; Chordata; Actinopteri; Salmoniformes; Salmonidae
Description: lncRNA (ENSSSAG00000112189.1)
Source: RNAcentral